RNAcentral lists this non-coding RNA (28 nucleotides) under Homo sapiens (human). The record is from RNAcentral. Lineage: Eukaryota; Metazoa; Chordata; Mammalia; Primates; Hominidae.
UAGAUGAGGCUGCCUGUGGAGAACUGGU